RNAcentral lists this ribosomal RNA (755 nucleotides) under uncultured organism. RNAcentral's name for it is "bacterial SSU rRNA". It matches the Rfam family "Bacterial small subunit ribosomal RNA", at positions 25 to 797 of the family's 1533-position model. The record is from RNAcentral.
CAGGACGAACGCUGGCGGCGUGCUUACACAUGCAAGUCGAACGGGAGCAUUGGUUUCGACUGAUGGUGAGAGUGGCGCACGGGUGCGUAACACGUAGCUGACCUGCCCUUCGCAGGGGGAUAACUUGCCGAAAGGUGAGCUAAUACCGCGUAAUCUCAUGGGACCUAGCACCCCAUGAGGAAAGCUGAGGCGGCGAAGGAGGGGGCUGCGGCCCAUCAGCUAGUUGGUAGGGUAAGGCCUACCAAGGCGAUGACGGGUAGGGGGCCUGAGAGGGUGACCCCCCACACUGGCACUGAGAUACGGGCCAGACUCCUACGGGAGGCAGCAGUAAGGAAUAUUGCACAAUGGGCGCAAGCCUGAUGCAGCAACGCCGCGUGAAGGAUGAAGGCUUUCGAGUUGUAAACUUCUUUUCUGCGGGAAGAGAACGGACGGUACCGCAGGAACAAGUCUCGGCUAACUACGUGCCAGCAGCCGCGGUAAAACGCAGGAGGCGAGCGUUAUCCGGAUUUACUGGGCGUAAAGCGCACGCAGGCGGUGGCAUCAGUGAUGCGUGAAAGCUCCCGGCUCAACUGGGAGAGGCCGUAUCAUACUGUGUCACUGGAGACAGAUAGAGGCAUACGGAAUUCCGGGUGGAGUGGUGAAAUGCGUAGAGAUCCGGAGGAACACCAGUGGCGAAGGCGGUAUGCUGGGGUCUGAUCUGACGCUGAGGUGCGAAAGCGUGGGGAGCGAACGGGAUUAGAAACCCCGGUAGUCCA